GGGGUUGUGGAUCCGUGGUUGAGCACUUGCCUGGCAGGCAUGAGGCACUGGGUUCGAUUCCCAGCACCACA
RNAcentral lists this transfer RNA (71 nucleotides) under Marmota monax (woodchuck). RNAcentral's name for it is "tRNA.Ala". It matches the Rfam family "tRNA". From Rfam's summary of the family: Transfer RNA (tRNA) molecules are approximately 80 nucleotides in length. Their secondary structure includes four short double-helical elements and three loops (D, anti-codon, and T loops). Lineage: Eukaryota; Metazoa; Chordata; Mammalia; Rodentia; Sciuridae. The record is from RNAcentral.